This 88-nucleotide transfer RNA is filed under the name Pseudomonadota bacterium. RNAcentral describes it as "tRNA-Ser". It matches the Rfam family "tRNA". Rfam says of the family: Transfer RNA (tRNA) molecules are approximately 80 nucleotides in length. Their secondary structure includes four short double-helical elements and three loops (D, anti-codon, and T loops). RNAcentral also lists the same sequence under 2 other names. The record is from RNAcentral. Lineage: Bacteria; Pseudomonadati; Pseudomonadota.
GGACAGCUGGCCGAGUGGUCGAAGGCGCACGCCUGGAACGCGUGUAAAGGGCAACCUUUCUAGGGUUCGAAUCCCUAGCUGUCCGCCA